UACGGAGGAUCCAAGCGUUAUCCGGAAUCAUUGGGUUUAAAGGGUCCGUAGGCGGUUUGGUAAGUCAGUGGUGAAAGCCCAUCGCUCAACGGUGGAACGGCCAUUGAUACUGCCAGACUUGAAUUACUAGGAAGUAACUAGAAUAUGUAGUGUAGCGGUGAAAUGCUUAGAGAUUACAUGGAAUACCAAUUGCGAAGGCAGGUUACUACUAAUGGAUUGACGCUGAUGGACGAAAGCGUGGGUAGCGAACAGG
This 253-nucleotide ribosomal RNA is filed under the name uncultured bacterium. RNAcentral describes it as "partial 16S ribosomal RNA". It matches the Rfam family "Bacterial small subunit ribosomal RNA", at positions 524 to 776 of the family's 1533-position model. The record is from RNAcentral.